AAUGUAUUCUUGUAAGGUACUCAUGUAAUGUAUUCAUGUAAGGUACUCAUGUAACGUAUUCAUGUAAGGUACUCAUGUAAUUUAUUCAUGUAAGUGUAUCCAUGUAACAUGUAAUGUAUAGUGUAGACUCAUGAAUGAACUGACUCUGAUGUAAUUCCUUGUAAUAGGAAUAAUGUUAUGUAUCUCCUAACUAUCCCUAUAAUAGUUAACUGGAAGGUAAUUGAUUGUCCAAACAGGUUUAUACACCUUUGAUACACAAGAGUGUGGGAAAC
Molecule: long non-coding RNA, 272 nt
Filed under: Lactuca sativa (garden lettuce)
Lineage: Eukaryota; Viridiplantae; Streptophyta; Magnoliopsida; Asterales; Asteraceae
Description: long non-coding RNA (LSAT_LNC005342)
Source: RNAcentral